This is a small nucleolar RNA of Musa acuminata AAA Group (dessert banana), 75 nucleotides long. RefSeq annotates it as small nucleolar RNA R66. The transcript has a single exon. The record is from RefSeq and is a predicted model, not a curated record. NCBI's taxonomy places the organism in Eukaryota, Viridiplantae, Streptophyta, Magnoliopsida, Zingiberales, Musaceae.
UCCGAUGAUGGCAUGGAAUCUUUGAGACCUGAUCUUUUUCAUCUUGGUGAAAACCAUAAGCAUGUUUCUGAGGAC